CUCUGUCUGUUUAUCCAUCAAACACUAUGAACUGAAAAACAAUCAGGGAGUCCUGGCCACUGUGAUUCGCUUCUGCUUUGCUUGCUCUUUGGGAUUUAGGCACGUAACUGGUUUUCUGAGGAUCGAGCAAUGGAAACUAGGCUAAAUCAAGGUACAAACAACAUUAUUUACUAGAUAAAUACAGGUUCUCAUUAAAUAACAGACAUGGCCAUAUAAAAUGCUAUUUAACUGAAUUAAAUUAGGAUAUUUGUCUGCUAUGAAAAAGGUAUUGGAAACUUAAUCCCUACCAUGUAGAAAGCUGGUGCAGAGGGG
This 312-nucleotide long non-coding RNA is filed under the name Salmo salar (Atlantic salmon). RNAcentral describes it as "lncRNA (ENSSSAG00000089416.1)". The record is from RNAcentral. Lineage: Eukaryota; Metazoa; Chordata; Actinopteri; Salmoniformes; Salmonidae.